GAUGAACGCUAGCGACAGGCUUAACACAUGCAAGUCGAGGGGCAGCGGGGAGUAGCAAUACUUCGCCGGCGACCGGCGCACGGGUGAGUAACACGUGUGCAACCAACCCCGUAGCGGGAGAUAACCCGCGGAAACGUGGACUAACAUCCCAUGAUACGCGAGAGACGCAUGGCUCUCGAUUUAAAAUUCCGGGGGUACGGGACGGGCACGCGCGACAUUAGGUAGUUGGAGGGGUAACGGCCCACCAAGCCGACGAUGUCUAGGGGUUCUGAGAGGAAGGUCCCCCACACUGGAACAGAGACAGGGUCCAGACUCCUACGGGAGGCAGCAGUGUGGCGUAUUGGUCAAUGGGCGAGAGCUUGAACCAGCCCAGUCGCGUGAGGGAAGAAUGGUCUGUGGCCUGUAAACCUCUUUUGUCGGGGAAGAAUAAGGAUGACGAGUCAUUCGAUGCCAGUACUUGACGAAUAAGCAUCGGCUAACUCCGUGCCGGCCGCCGCCGUAA
RNAcentral lists this ribosomal RNA (502 nucleotides) under uncultured bacterium. RNAcentral describes it as "partial 16S ribosomal RNA". It matches the Rfam family "Bacterial small subunit ribosomal RNA", at positions 28 to 523 of the family's 1533-position model. The record is from RNAcentral.